UCUCUGUGAUGAUGAAUUUUGAUGACGAGUCCGAUAACUAAUCCAUUCACCUUGACGACAAAUCGAGGCAUUUGUCUGAGAGUA
Molecule: small nucleolar RNA, 84 nt
Organism: Mangifera indica (mango)
Lineage: Eukaryota; Viridiplantae; Streptophyta; Magnoliopsida; Sapindales; Anacardiaceae
Source: RefSeq, a predicted model, not a curated record